Molecule: ribosomal RNA, 497 nt
Filed under: uncultured bacterium
Lineage: Bacteria
Description: partial 16S ribosomal RNA
Rfam family: Bacterial small subunit ribosomal RNA
Source: RNAcentral
GAUGAACGCUGGCGGCGUGCCUAAUACAUGCAAGUCGAGCGAACAGACGAGGAGCUUGCUCCUCUGACGUUAGCGGCGGACGGGUGAGUAACACGUGGAUAACCUACCUAUAAGACUGGGAUAACUUCGGGAAACCGGAGCUAAUACCGGAUAAUAUAUUGAACCGCAUGGUUCAAUAGUGAAAGACGGUUUUGCUGUCACUUAUAGAUGGAUCCGCGCCGCAUUAGCUAGUUGGUAAGGUAACGGCUUACCAAGGCAACGAUGCGUAGCCGACCUGAGGGGGUGAUCGGCCACACUGGAACUGAGACACGGUCCAGACUCCUACGUGAGGCAGCAGUCGGGAAUCUUCCGCAAUGGGCGAAAGCUUGACGGAGCAACGCCGCGUGAGUGAUGAAGGUCUUCGGAUCGUAAAACUCUGUUAUUAGGGAAGAACAAAUGUGUAAGUAACUAUGCACGUCUUGACGGUACCUAAUCAGAAAGCCACGGCUAACUACGUG